RNAcentral lists this small nucleolar RNA (123 nucleotides) under Dichanthelium oligosanthes. RNAcentral describes it as "Small nucleolar RNA SNORA72". It matches the Rfam family "Small nucleolar RNA SNORA72". Rfam says of the family: U72 is a member of the H/ACA class of snoRNAs. The snoRNA gene is located in intron 4 of the ribosomal L30 protein gene in human, mouse and chicken. Lineage: Eukaryota; Viridiplantae; Streptophyta; Magnoliopsida; Poales; Poaceae. The record is from Rfam by way of RNAcentral.
UUCUAGAACUUCAACCGGCACUGAUAUAUCAGUGCCGGUUAAAUAUUUAUAAUUUUAUAAAUAUUUAUAAUUUACCGGCACUGGUAUAAUUUUUAUACCAGUGCUGGUUGAAUAUUUAUAACC